AUGGAGCGAGGCAACGCACACCCUCCCUCCGCAAACCCUAGCCGCCGCACGAGGGAAGAGAUGAGGGGCAGCACGUUGCGUCCAGACGUCUCCGUCGCCGGCUUCUCUACACUCCGUUCCCCAGUCCCCACCUCCUCCGGUCCUCCCGCACGGCCGCUCCUCCGCGACGGCACCAACUGUCCAGAAGCGGAGUCGCUGCCUCGACCCGGGGUCCCCCCGUCCCUGUCGUGGUCGGCACCACGCACAUCCCGAGGCACCACCCGCUCAUUGUCGGCACGCCCGAGCCUGCCAAGAAGGAGGCCGUGCCGCGGAGGGGCUCCUGGGGCCGAGAAGCACAGCGGCGCCGACAAUGCCGGGGUGCUCGCAUCACCCAAGGUUGUCAGGUCCAUCGCGCUCAACUUCGAGGAGAAGACGCCCGUCAAGGAGCGGCCCUCGCCAGCGCGGAGCUCGGCGUUGGUCAAGAAGAGCACCACCAUCAUGCCCAGGCUGGUGACACACGGCUAG
Molecule: ribosomal RNA, 504 nt
Filed under: Triticum aestivum (bread wheat)
Lineage: Eukaryota; Viridiplantae; Streptophyta; Magnoliopsida; Poales; Poaceae
Description: partial small subunit ribosomal RNA
Source: RNAcentral